UWGGGAAGAACGAAUGGUUCCUCUUAUGAGGCUAGUUAUCUUGGAGAUAUAAUAAUGGUUAUAAAUUAAAUAUAUAGAUAUUUAAGAUCUAUUCCAUGUAGAAAUUAAAUAUAUAUAUAUAUAUUUAAUAUCUAACUAUCAAGUUUUAGAAAUUAUAAGUUAAAUAAAGAUAUUUAAUUUAUAAUAUAGAAAAUGUUUAUAUUUCAGUAAUAUAUUACUAAUAUUAGAAAUAAAAAUAUAGUAGGGUAUUCUAAUAAUAGGGAAGAGAUAAUACCGACUCCGUUUGGAUAAAAUUCUAGAUUUAUACCCUGAUUGAUAAUGACAAUCAUUUAAAUCUAAAUGUCUUGGCUAAAUUACGUGCCAGCAGCCGCGGUAAUACGUAGAAGACUAGUGUUGUUCAUCUUUAACAGGUUUAAAGGGUACCUAGACGGCGUUAUUAACAACCUAUAGUUAGGGGCUAUAGGGGGUUUAUUUUGCUAGAGUUUAAUAUGAGGAGGGGAGAACUUGUAGAGUAAAGAUAAAAUUUUAUCAUACUAUGAGGACUGAUAUCGGCGAAAGCGACCUUUUAUCUAAAAACUGACGUUGAGGGACGAAGGCUUGGGUAGCAAAUAGGAUUAGAUACCCUAGUAGUCCUAGCAGUCAAUUCUGAAUGCCAUAGACAAGAUAUUUAUUUGGUUUAUAAAUGAAAGUGUAAGCAUUCCACCUCAUGAGUAAUGUGGCAACGCAGGAACUGAAAUCAUUAGACCGUAUCAGAGAACAGUAGUGAUGUAUGUUAUUUAAUUCGAUGACCCACGAAAAACCUUACCACAACUUGAAUAUCUCCGUGACUAAGGGAAAAGAAAUAGCCCCUUAGAUUAGUACCAGGUAUAUUGUUGUAACACAUAUAUCAGGAAAUGUUGAAUGGCUGAAAUGUUGUAAUACAUUUAAAUGUAGAAAUACAUUUGGCACGGUGAUACAAGCGUUGCACGGUUGUCUUAAACUAAUGUCGUGAGAUCAUGGUUAGUUCCAUUAAAUUAGUGUAAACCCCGGCUUUAUUUUUAAAUACUGUGUGUGUAGGUGAUGAUAUGACCGGUGGGGGUCUAAUUAUUACUAUAAUCACCAUAGUCCUUUAUUUUUAUAAUAAGUAUGGUGAUAUCUUGAAGGGAUAUCAUCACUAGAAUUAUAUAAAUAAAAUAAUGUGAUAGAGCAGUUCUUCACCAGAUUGAAUAGAUGAUAA
Molecule: ribosomal RNA, 1216 nt
Filed under: Coccomyces radiatus
Lineage: Eukaryota; Fungi; Ascomycota; Leotiomycetes; Rhytismatales; Rhytismataceae
Description: mitochondrial SSU rRNA
Rfam family: Bacterial small subunit ribosomal RNA (bases 239-1216)
Source: RNAcentral